GAAAGUAAUUUCAUAGGGCCGAUCCGGUUCGUUGGGCGUGCUUCGAGGAGGCCUCUGCCGUCGCUUGCCUUCGUGUUCGCGGCCGCGUCAGCUCUCCUCGAUCUCACCCCCCUCGAUUCGUCACCUGUUUAUGUGGACGGCGCAGGCCCGGGGCCCGCGAGGUUCCUCCCCGUUGCCAAUGCUGAAUCGUCUUCUUAGCCCUGGCGAAUGUGGAUGCCGCUGUCGUCGUCGCUCGCCGCUCUCCUCCGGUCUGUCUGUCUGUCUGUCGUUUCGGCGGCAGCAGCAGCAGCAGCCGAGGGAUGAGCGCGAGCGCGCGGCGUGGCGGUUUAUUCCUCCUCUUCACCGGUUGAUAAGAGUCGUUUUCCGCAGACGGGGCCGAACAGCGGGUCCUCCGAGCGCAUAUUCUGGUACCCGAAAGAUGGUGAUCUAUGCCUGGCCAGGAUGAAGCCAGGGGAAACCCUGGUGGAGGUCCGAAGCGAUUCUGACGUGCAAAUCGAUCGUCGGAGCUGCGCAUAGGGGCGAAAGACCAAUCGAACCAUCUAGUAGUG
This 548-nucleotide ribosomal RNA is filed under the name Brevurus masandaranus. Its description in RNAcentral is "partial 28S ribosomal RNA". The stretch from base 410 to 548 matches the Rfam family "Eukaryotic large subunit ribosomal RNA", at positions 814 to 952 of the family's 3401-position model. The record is from RNAcentral. Lineage: Eukaryota; Metazoa; Arthropoda; Malacostraca; Isopoda; Porcellionidae.